RNAcentral lists this ribosomal RNA (428 nucleotides) under uncultured prokaryote. Its description in RNAcentral is "bacterial SSU rRNA". It matches the Rfam family "Bacterial small subunit ribosomal RNA", at positions 355 to 774 of the family's 1533-position model. The record is from RNAcentral.
UGAGGAAUCUUGCGCAAUGGGGGCAACCCUGACGCAGCAACGCCGCGUGAGUGAGGAAGGUCUUCGGAUCGUAAAGCUCUGUCGGGUGGGAAGAAACGUAUGGAAGCUAAUACCUUUCAUGCUUGACGGUACCACCAAAGGAAGCACCGGCUAACUCCGUGCCAGCAGCCGCGGUAAUACGGGGGGUGCAAGCGUUGUUCGGAAUCAUUGGGCGUAAAGGGCGUGUAGGCGGCUUGGUAAGUCAGAUGUGAAAGCCCUGGGCUUAACCCAGGAAGUGCAUUUGAAACUGUCAGGCUUGAGUAGGGGAGAGGAAGGUGGAAUUCCUGGUGUAGAGGUGAAAUUCGUAGAUAUCAGGAGGAACACCGGUGGCGAAGGCGACCUUCUGGCCCUAUACUGACGCUGAGACGCGAAAGCGUGGGUAGCAAACA